Molecule: ribosomal RNA, 468 nt
Filed under: uncultured bacterium
Lineage: Bacteria
Description: partial 16S ribosomal RNA
Rfam family: Bacterial small subunit ribosomal RNA
Source: RNAcentral
GACGAACGCUGGCGGCGUGCUUAACACAUGCAAGUCGAACGGAAAGGCCCUGCUUUUGUGGGGUUCUCGAGUGGGGAACGGGUGAGUAACACGUGAGUAACCUGCCCUUGACUUUGGGAGAACAUCAGGAAACUGGGGCUCUUACCCGAUAGAAUCUUCUGCUGCGUGGUGGGGGUUGGAAAGUUUCGGCGGUUGUGGAUGGACUGGCGGCUUAUCAGCUUGUUUGUGGGGUAGUUGCUUACGAAGCCUUUGACGGAUAGGCGGCCUGAGAGGGUGACCGGCCACAUGGGGACUAAGAGAGGGACCAGAAGCCAACGUGAGGCAGUGGGGGGGAGUAUUGCGGAAUGGCGGGGCGCCUGUGACAGCAAUCCCCGGAGCGGGAUGACGGCCUUCUGGUUAUAAACCGCUUUCGCCGGUAACGAAGCGUGAGUGACGGUAAUGGGUAAAGAAGCACCGGCUAACUACGUG